UGGGGAAUAUUGGACAAUGGGCGGAAGCCUGAUCCAGCCAUGCCGCGUGUGAAGAAGGCCUCUUGGGGUUAAAGAGCUUUAAGCGCGGAGGAGGCUCUUCUAGUUAAUACAUAGGAUGAGUGGACGCGACUCGCAGAAUAAGCACCGGCUAACACUGUGCCAGCAGCCGCGGUAAAACAGAGGGUGCGAGCGUUAAUCGGAUUUACUGGGCGUAAAGCGUGCGUAGGCGGCUGAUUAAGUCGGAUGUGAAAUCCCUGAGCUUAACUUAGGAAUUGCAUUCGAUACUGGUCAGCUAGAGUAUGGGAGAGGAUGGUAGAAUUCCAGGUGUAGCGGUGAAAUGCGUAGAGAUCUGGAGGAAUACCGAUGGCGAAGGCAGCCAUCUGGCCUAAUACUGACGCUGAGGUACGAAAGCAUGGGGAGCAAACAGG
Molecule: ribosomal RNA, 428 nt
Filed under: Pseudomonadota bacterium
Lineage: Bacteria; Pseudomonadati; Pseudomonadota
Description: Proteobacteria bacterium partial 16S ribosomal RNA
Rfam family: Bacterial small subunit ribosomal RNA
Source: RNAcentral